AGUUUAGCGUAAACCGGGAAGCGGAUCGCGUGGAGUGAAAGUCACCGCAGCGAUGAAGUUGCGCUCUUGUUGCCCAGGCUGGAGUGCAGUGGCGUGAUCUCAGCUCACUGCAACCUUUGCCUCCCGGGUUCAAGCGAUUCUCCUGCCUUAGCCCCCUGAGUAGCUGGGAUUACAGGCUGGAGUGCAAUGGCGAGAUCUCAGCUCACUGCAACUGCUGUCUCCCGGGUUCAAGCAAUUGUCCUGCCUCAGCCUCCUGAAUAGCUGGGAUUACAGGUGCCCACCACCACUACCAGGAGAUGGACAAACCAUGUGGGUGCCCUCCAGGUGUGUGCGACCAUGAAAUGGGAGACUAGCAGGACCCACGUUGGCCAACCGUGGACCUGGUCCCUCCAGUAGGAGUCGUGAGCCAGCUGAAUUUGAAUGCAAAGAUGGAGCAAGGGCCGACUGGAGUCACACUGACAUCCACCCCCAUAACAUGGGGACAGAUCAAGAAAACAAAGCAGGAAGCUGAGAAAAUGCUGGAGCAUCCAUGUGCUUGGCCAUGUUAGCAGUAGUGUCCUGUGAGGUAUGUUUC
Molecule: long non-coding RNA, 574 nt
Filed under: Homo sapiens (human)
Lineage: Eukaryota; Metazoa; Chordata; Mammalia; Primates; Hominidae
Description: non-protein coding lnc-ZNF816-2:3
Source: RNAcentral